UUAAGUUAGAAAGGGCGCACGGUGGAUGCCUUGACACUAGGAGUCGAUGAAGGACGGGACUAACGCCGAUAUGCUUCGGGGAGCUGUAAGUAAGCUUUGAUCCGAAGAUUUCCGAAUGGGGAAACCCACCAUACGUAAUGGUAUGGUAUCCUUAUCUGAAUACAUAGGGUAAGGAAGACAGACCCAGGGAACUGAAACAUCUAAGUACCUGGAGGAAGAGAAAGCAAAUGCGAUUUCCUGAGUAGCGGCGAGCGAAACGGAACAUAGCCCAAACCAAGAGGCUUGCCUCUUGGGGUUGUAGGACAUUCUAUACGGAGUUACAAAGGAACGAGGUAGACGAAGCGACCUGGAAAGGUCCGUCGUAGAGGGUAACAACCCCGUAGUCGAAACUUCGUUCUCUCUUGAAUGUAUCCUGAGUACGGCGGAACACGUGAAAUUCCGUCGGAAUCUGGGAGGACCAUCUCCCAAGGCUAAAUACUCCCUAGUGAUCGAUAGUGAACCAGUACCGUGAGGGAAAGGUGAAAAGCACCCCGGAAGGGGAGUGAAAGAGAUCCUGAAACCGUGUGCCUACAAAUAGUCAGAGCCCGUUAACGGGUGAUGGCGUGCCUUUUGUAGAAUGAACCGGCGAGUUACGAUCCCGUGCGAGGUUAAGCUGAAGAGGCGGAGCCGCAGCGAAAGCGAGUCUGAAUAGGGCGUUUAGUACGUGGUCGUAGACCCGAAACCAGGUGAUCUACCCAUGUCCAGGGUGAAGUUCAGGUAACACUGAAUGGAGGCCCGAACCCACGCACGUUGAAAAGUGCGGGGAUGAGGUGUGGGUAGCGGAGAAAUUCCAAUCGAACCUGGAGAUAGCUGGUUCUCCCCGAAAUAGCUUUAGGGCUAGCCUUAAGUGUAAGAGUCUUGGAGGUAGAGCACUGAUUGGACUAGGGGUCCUCAUCGGAUUACCGAAUUCAGUCAAACUCCGAAUGCCAAUGACUUAUCCUUAGGAGUCAGACUGCGAGUGAUAAGAUCCGUAGUCAAAAGGGAAACAGCCCAGACCGCCAGCUAAGGUCCCAAAGUGUGUAUUAAGUGGAAAAGGAUGUGGAGUUGCUUAGACAACUAGGAUGUUGGCUUAGAAGCAGCCACCAUUUAAAGAGUGCGUAAUAGCUCACUAGUCGAGUGACUCUGCGCCGAAAAUGUACCGGGGCUAAAUACACCACCGAAGCUGCGGAUUGAUACCAAUGGUAUCAGUGGUAGGGGAGCGUUCUAAGGACAGUGAAGUCAGACCGGAAGGACUGGUGGAGUGCUUAGAAGUGAGAAUGCCGGUAUGAGUAGCGAAAGACGGGUGAGAAUCCCGUCCACCGAAUGCCUAAGGUUUCCUGAGGAAGGCUCGUCCGCUCAGGGUUAGUCAGGACCUAAGCCGAGGCCGACAGGCGUAGGCGAUGGACAACAGGUUGAUAUUCCUGUACCACCUCUUUAUCGUUUGAGCAAUGGAGGGACGCAGAAGGAUAGAAGAAGCGUGCGAUUGGUUGUGCACGUCCAAGCAGUUAGGCUGAUAAGUAGGCAAAUCCGCUUAUCGUGAAGGCUGAGCUGUGAUGGGGAAGCUCCUUAUGGAGCGAAGUCUUUGAUUCCCCGCUGCCAAGAAAAGCUUCUAGCGAGAUAAAAGGUGCCUGUACCGCAAACCGACACAGGUAGGCGAGGAGAGAAUCCUAAGGUGUGCGAGAGAACUCUGGUUAAGGAACUCGGCAAAAUGACCCCGUAACUUCGGGAGAAGGGGUGCUUUCUUAACGGAAAGCCGCAGUGAAUAGGCCCAAGCGACUGUUUAGCAAAAACACAGCUCUCUGCGAAGCCGUAAGGCGAAGUAUAGGGGGUGACACCUGCCCGGUGCUGGAAGGUUAAGGAGAGGGGUUAGCGUAAGCGAAGCUCUGAACUGAAGCCCCAGUAAACGGCGGCCGUAACUAUAACGGUCCUAAGGUAGCGAAAUUCCUUGUCGGGUAAGUUCCGACCCGCACGAAAGGUGUAACGAUUUGGGCACUGUCUCAACCAGAGACUCGGUGAAAUUAUAGUACCUGUGAAGAUGCAGGUUACCCGCGACAGGACGGAAAGACCCCGUGGAGCUUUACUGUAGCCUGAUAUUGAAUUUUGGUACAGUUUGUACAGGAUAGGCGGGAGCCUUUGAAACCGGAGCGCUAGCUUCGGUGGAGGCGCUGGUGGGAUACCGCCCUGACUGUAUUGAAAUUCUAACCUACGGGUCUUAUCGACCCGGGAGACAGUGUCAGGUGGGCAGUUUGACUGGGGCGGUCGCCUCCUAAAGUGUAACGGAGGCGCCCAAAGGUUCCCUCAGAAUGGUUGGAAAUCAUUCGUAGAGUGCAAAGGCAUAAGGGAGCUUGACUGCGAGACCUACAAGUCGAGCAGGGACGAAAGUCGGGCUUAGUGAUCCGGUGGUUCCGCAUGGAAGGGCCAUCGCUCAACGGAUAAAAGCUACCCCGGGGAUAACAGGCUUAUCUCCCCCAAGAGUCCACAUCGACGGGGAGGUUUGGCACCUCGAUGUCGGCUCAUCGCAUCCUGGGGCUGUAGUCGGUCCCAAGGGUUGGGCUGUUCGCCCAUUAAAGCGGUACGCGAGCUGGGUUCAGAACGUCGUGAGACAGUUCGGUCCCUAUCCGUCGUGGGCGUAGGAAAUUUGAGAGGAGCUGUCCUUAGUACGAGAGGACCGGGAUGGACGCACCGCUGGUGUACCAGUUGUUCUGCCAAGGGCAUAGCUGGGUAGCUAUGUGCGGAAGGGAUAAGUGCUGAAAGCAUCUAAGCAUGAAGCCCCCCUCAAGAUGAGAUUUCCCAUAGCGUUUCGAUCAUUCUAGGGACUUUCUACUAGUCCAACUAUCCAAGCUCCACCUUCGUACCACUGUACACCUCGACUGCUUAUGAUUAUCUAGCUCCUGAAUUGGUAUAUUAUACAUCGUUACAAUAGAUCAAAACUUCCUUAUACGGAAGUAUCAAACCACUACUACCGUCUCUCCAGUGUGGGCAA
RNAcentral lists this ribosomal RNA (3001 nucleotides) under Bacillus cereus. RNAcentral's name for it is "bacterial LSU rRNA". It matches the Rfam family "Bacterial large subunit ribosomal RNA". The record is from RNAcentral. Lineage: Bacteria; Bacillati; Bacillota; Bacilli; Caryophanales; Bacillaceae.